AAAUCGAAUACCUAUUUCAUCAUAACACAUUAUUACCCAGAUAUUUCAUUGAAACACAUCAUUAGCCGGAUAAUACUCCAAAUAAAGAAAACCCUAGCUGUUUCCUCCAAUAGCGCUCAUCGAAUUUCAUUUUGGCGAAAACAUUUUCGAAACUUCUCUUUCCCGUAUAGACACAAUCUAUCUCCCAUUUCUUCAUCCCCAUUUCACAAACCCUACUCUCGCUCCUCUUUCUCCAUCUUCCCCAUUUCCACUCUUCCGUUCAAUCGAAGAUGCAGACUCGAGGUUCAAGAAAGAGAGAUAACGCUGAACCAAUUGUGCUCAACCCUAAGAAACAAAGGGUUGUGUUGGGGGAUCUUUCAAAUCUAG
Vicia faba (fava bean) is the source of this 366-nucleotide non-coding RNA. The record is from the annotation of a GenBank genome assembly. Lineage: Eukaryota; Viridiplantae; Streptophyta; Magnoliopsida; Fabales; Fabaceae.